GAUGAACGCUGGCGGCGUGCCUAAUACAUGCAAGUCGAGCGAACAGAAGAGGAGCUUACUCCUAUGAAGAUAAAGACAGACAGGUAAGUACCACGUAGAACACCCACCUAUAAGACUGGGAUAACUUCGGGAAACCGGAGCUAAUACCGGAUAAUAUAUUGAACCGCAUGGUUCAAUAGUGAAAGACGGUUUUGCUGUCACUUAUAGAUGGAUCCGCGCCGCAUUAGCUAGUUGGUAAGGUAACGGCUUACCAAGGCAACGAUGCGUAGCCGACCUGAGAGUUGUUGGUGCCACACUGGAACUGAGACACGGUCCAGACUCCUACGGGAGGCAGCAGUAGGGAAUCUUCCGCAAUGGUCGAAAGCCUGACGGAGCAACGCCGCGUGAGUGAUGAAGGUCUUCGGAUCGUAAAACUCUGUUAUUAGGGAAUAACAAAUGUGUAAGUAACUAUGCACGUCUUGACGGUACCUAAUCAGAAAGCCACGGCUAACUACGUG
RNAcentral lists this ribosomal RNA (497 nucleotides) under uncultured bacterium. RNAcentral describes it as "partial 16S ribosomal RNA". It matches the Rfam family "Bacterial small subunit ribosomal RNA", at positions 28 to 507 of the family's 1533-position model. The record is from RNAcentral.